CAGCCGCCGCGGGAAAACGAAGGGUGCAAGCGUUACUCGGAAUUACUGGGCGUAGAGCGCGCGUAGGUGGUUCGCCAAGUUGGAUGUGAAAUCCCCGGGCUCAACCUGGGAACUGCAUCCAAAACUGGCGAGCUAGAGUAUGGUAGAGGGUGGUGGAAUUUCCUGUGUAGCGGUGAAAUGCGUAGAUAUAGGAAGGAACAUCAGUGGCGAAGGCGACCACCUGGAUUGAUACUGACACUGAGGUGCGAAAGCGUGGGGAGCAAACAGGAUUAGAUACCCCAGUAGUCCCUGUCUCUUAUAU
This 301-nucleotide ribosomal RNA is filed under the name uncultured bacterium. Its description in RNAcentral is "partial 16S ribosomal RNA". It matches the Rfam family "Bacterial small subunit ribosomal RNA", at positions 509 to 809 of the family's 1533-position model. The record is from RNAcentral.